Molecule: long non-coding RNA, 916 nt
Filed under: Homo sapiens (human)
Lineage: Eukaryota; Metazoa; Chordata; Mammalia; Primates; Hominidae
Description: HSALNT0326572
Source: RNAcentral
UGGCCACCUCCUGGUGGUAAGUCUCGCUCCUGGAGUUCCCAUCUUGACCCUACAGCGGGACAUUUUGCCGCCACCUCUUUGUGUGUUGGGAAGAUGACGUCCUUUCUGCUCGUCCUGCUUCUCUGAUUGAUCUGUGUCUCUGGAGAUCCCUUUGCUCAGCCAUCAGAUCAAGCAGGCAUCCAUGGUUCAGAAUGGUGAUGACCUGGGCAAGAGCUCACCAGUAAGGAGCAAAGGGGCCCGCCUGCCACUCUUAAGCAGAGCGCCUGCUGAAUCAGGAUUUCCAAGGCUCCGGCUGAGUGCCUGGCUGGGGGCUGUGUGUGCAGAUGCCACAAGAUGGACAAGACUGAGGACGCAGAUUUCCUACAACAGCAGACUUCUGAUGCCCAGGCCUCAGUUCUGAACUCUGGAGGCUACAACCUGGCCUGCUUAUAGACGGUGGACCAAAUGAAGGUGAAGAGGAGACGGAUGAGGAAACUGAAGCAACUGUUCAAGAAGAGGAUAUAAAAAGGGACAGGCAUUGAUGAUGAUAUCAGAGCUUCUUCCUGGGGAAUCUCAGCCUCACAUGAUGGAGUAUGACUAAAGGAAAAAAAUAAGGCUCUUCACAUACUUUCUUGGCAGUCUGUGAGGGUCAGGGUUGAUUUUGUGUCCCUAAAAUGUCACAUGAAGUUCAUAGGCACUUCCAAAGGGGCAGUCUAGCAAGUUAAAGAGUAGAUGUGGGGCUGUGUGGAGUCCAUUGUUUGGGUAAUCUUUUUCAAACAGUAGGAAUAUACCAGCUUGUAAAGAUUUGCCCACUUAGCUUCAAGUCUCUCUGAACACAUUUCCCCCCGCUCUAUGAAUAGAUGAAGACAUACAAAUGGAACUCUUGAUAUUCUUAAGUGAAAAACAUGAUAUGGAAUAGCAGAUAAAUACAAACAAU